Molecule: non-coding RNA, 30 nt
Filed under: Homo sapiens (human)
Lineage: Eukaryota; Metazoa; Chordata; Mammalia; Primates; Hominidae
Source: RNAcentral
UGGGAGCAGAAGGAUUCCAGACCAUUCCUG